UGGAAGACGUUUCUUUGCCUAUUACGAAGAUAUGAAAUCCAGAGACUUCAUCAAGGGAGGAAGUGCAAUUUUUGGAGUUCAGCUUCCAAGGUAGGUUGAUCAAACUGUUUUUACUGCUUAACUUGACUGUAUAGCUGCUCUGCUUGGAAUUCUACAACAAAUUAGUUUGAAACAUUUCUUUACACCUAAGAGGAAGUUUUGUUCUACAUGUUUACUGAAACUUUCUUUUGUUAGAUAUCUCUCCUCUCCUUAGUGGAAAUUCUCUACCAUGUCCUAAAGUGGAACCAGUGAAGAUUAGACACCUUCCUAGAUAUCAGGAUAAUGGCCCAUGCUCAUCACGGAUCUUACCCACCACCCGUCCACCUCCUAACACAACAGAUGACAAAAGCAUUUUUUGGCUUCUCUGCUGCUUUGGUGUGUUCUCCUGUCCUCACCCUCCUAUUGAUGAUUUUGAUACCUUGAUGUACAUCUCUGCGCACAUCUCACCUCGGAUAUCGUCAGUAAAGUUGCCACUGGCUGAGUAAUUCAGCAGUUCUUAACUUUAUUUUAGAUUUGUUUAUGUGGUUAUAUAGUCGACUAAUACAAAAAAGGUGUAAUAAGUAAAUAACUAUUGGUGGAUACUGUAUUUGGGAAUAGUUGUAUUGUCACAAUUAUAUCGUCAUAUGUUACAAUUAAGUACAUGUCUGUGGUGUGACUGUAUAUUUUGUUAAUUGGAUUAUCUUAUCUGCGUUAAUCUUAAAAAUGUACUUCUAUUUCUUAUGGUAUUGCAGUCUUUCGACUGCAUUUAUAACUGGCUAAUGAAAAGGCAAGGUUGCUGUGAGCCCUUAAAUGUUUGUAAUAAUACUGUAGAUUUACAGUAUGAUGUGGAAUUGUACAGCUAUCCCUGUACAGUGGUUCUUGAUUGACAAAAAUAGCAUAUUUGAUU
Long non-coding RNA from Anarrhichthys ocellatus (wolf-eel), 925 nucleotides. RefSeq lists it as uncharacterized. The transcript is spliced from 3 exons. NCBI's taxonomy places the organism in Eukaryota, Metazoa, Chordata, Actinopteri, Perciformes, Anarhichadidae. The record is from RefSeq and is a predicted model, not a curated record.